UGGGGUUGUGGCUCAGAGGUAGAGUGCUCACCUAGGACAUGAGAGGCCCUGGGUUCGAUCCUCAGCACCACAA
This 73-nucleotide transfer RNA is filed under the name Marmota monax (woodchuck). RNAcentral's name for it is "tRNA.Pro". It matches the Rfam family "tRNA". Rfam says of the family: Transfer RNA (tRNA) molecules are approximately 80 nucleotides in length. Their secondary structure includes four short double-helical elements and three loops (D, anti-codon, and T loops). The record is from RNAcentral. Lineage: Eukaryota; Metazoa; Chordata; Mammalia; Rodentia; Sciuridae.